GAUAAUACGACGGCGGGACGGGGCCCUGGGGGAGCUCUGGGAGCUAGUGUGGCCGCGCCCCCUGCGCGUGUGCUGGGUGCGCGCGCAGUGCUGCUAUGUGCUGGGAAAUUUCCCCAAAUCUGGGAAUUGAGCCUAAAACUUGAUGAGGACUGGUGUACUGCUCUGAGCACAGGGCUAGGAACCAGGAACGUCUGAGUGUUAAUUCUGACUCUGUUGCCGGGGACAAUUCAAGUAUCCUCUUGGACUCAUGUGCCUUCUCUGUAAAAUGGAAUACAAAUCUGCUUUGUACUCCACUCCAGGCAAGAGCCAGUGGAACCAUCCCCUGGUGUAAAGCCAUUUCCUGGGAAGAUAUUCCAAAAUCUUUGGCCUCACCAGCCUCUCAAAGGUCCCAGUUUCCAGGAACAACCAGUUCAGAUGGCUGCUAUUAAUUAAACUGGGAAGAGCAUCUUCAGUCUAAGGGACCAUCCACCAGCUAAGUAAAGAGACUUAAAUUUGCAAAGUAUAUUUCAAGUAAUAAAACAGGGAUUUAUUUCACAUUGUUGCCAGUUAGUUCUGCACAAUGAGGUGUUUAAUUAGAACAGGGGUAGGCAACCUUUCAGAAGUGGUGUGCCGAGUCUUCAUUUAUUCACUCUGAUUUAAGGUUUUGCGUGCCAGUCAUACAUUUUAACGUUUUUAGAAGGUCUCUUUCUAUAAGUCUAUAAUAUAUAACUAAACUAUUGUUGUAUGUAAAGUAAAUAAGGUUUUAAAAAUGUUUAAGAAGCUUCAUUUAAAAUUAAAUUAAAAUGCAGAGCCCCCUGGACCGGUGGCCAGGACCUGGGCAGUGUGAGUGCCACUGAAAAUCAGCUCGUGUGCCGCCUUUGGCAUGCAUGCCAUAGGUUGCCUACCCCUGAACUAGAAUUUCUAGAGUUAAAAUUCUUUGUCUCAUCCUGGGCAUACAAUAAACACCAUCCACAUCUAUUACUUGCCUUUUCCUACAUAUACAGAACUGCAGCAUUUCCUAAUAUUCUUCAUUAAAUUAGGAAUUAAUCUUCA
Molecule: long non-coding RNA, 1032 nt
Organism: Malaclemys terrapin pileata
Lineage: Eukaryota; Metazoa; Chordata; Testudines; Emydidae
Exons: 3
Source: RefSeq, a predicted model, not a curated record